Molecule: unclassified non-coding RNA, 242 nt
Filed under: uncultured fungus
Lineage: Eukaryota; Fungi
Description: sequence contains ITS1, 5.8S rRNA gene
Rfam family: 5.8S ribosomal RNA (bases 194-242)
Source: RNAcentral
UUUCCGUAGGUGAACCUGCGGAGGGAUCAUUACAGAGCAUCAUGCCCUUCGGGGUAGAUCUUCCACCCUGUGUAUUAUAUACCUUUUGUUGCUUUGGCGGGCCGCUUCGGCCACCGGCUUCGGCUGGUGCGUGCCUGCCAGAGGACCCCAAACUCUGAAUGUUAGUGUCGUCUGAGUACUAUCUAAUAGUUAAAACUUUCAACAACGGAUCUCUUGGUUCUGGCAUCGAUGAAGAACGCAGC